This is a long non-coding RNA of Urocitellus parryii (Arctic ground squirrel), 355 nucleotides long. RefSeq lists it as uncharacterized. Lineage: Eukaryota; Metazoa; Chordata; Mammalia; Rodentia; Sciuridae. The record is from RefSeq and is a predicted model, not a curated record.
GAAAUCUGAAUUGAUUGUCCAAAGGUUUCCAUUGGACCCUGUUGCCUCUCAUUAUUCAGAAAAUCCUCAGUUUCUUAAGUUACAAAUGCMUUUAAACAAUGACCAAGUCAUGCCGCAACAGGCACUGGGAACAAAUGAACAACUGCAGCAAGAAAUAGCUAAGCUUGGGUCUGAAAUCCCAACACUGAAAAAAGAGUGAGGCCAAUAAUGCUCAAAAGGGCCUAAACGGUCACUCACUUCCAAAAAGACUAUUAGACUGCUGGAUGACACUUUCAGUACAGGUGGAAGUAGCACCCAGUGGUGAUUGUGAUUACACAUGGAAGACGUUUUUACUGGACUUCAGUUUGUCACUUAC